AAUAGUCAAACGGGGGGCUGGCGUAAACCGGCUGAGAUUGGGCAGUGACCUGCCCUGACCCGCGAACCUGUACGGAUAAUGCCGGCGUAGGGAUUUGUCAGCAAGGGAAC
This 110-nucleotide non-coding RNA is filed under the name Clostridium sp. Its description in RNAcentral is "TPP sequence". It matches the Rfam family "TPP riboswitch aptamer (THI element)". Rfam says of the family: Vitamin B(1) in its active form thiamin pyrophosphate (TPP) is an essential coenzyme that is synthesised by coupling of pyrimidine and thiazole moieties in bacteria. The record is from RNAcentral. RNAcentral also lists the same sequence under 1 other name. Lineage: Bacteria; Bacillati; Bacillota; Clostridia; Eubacteriales; Clostridiaceae.